CUGAUGAUGGAGACAAAUGCAUACGCACCCUUCUUUCCCGCGAGUAUGACUACAUGUCAAUUUUCGACGAGAAGGAUGACGCUAAUAAAACCUUGUUCGACUACGCCAGGGAAAAUUGUCAUCCAUCCACAAUUUUGAAACUUUUAGACACCAUGAAAAGUCCCAUCAAACUUGGCAGUUUCGCCAAUGAAAUGAAAAAAGAAGCCUCACAGCUUGAAAAAUACGUUACUGUUCCAAUCUUCAUGCACUUCAUGAUGGAAAACUCUUUCUCUUGGACAGCCGACCUGACGAAGAUUUCAUUUGGGCACCAACCUGCAUUACGGGGAACUACAAUCCUAACAUGUAUAUUCCAGAAACUUCAAAAGUUCGCUCAUCAAUGACUGAAUGGACCAAUGAGCAACGGAGGAUGGUCCUUCUGCACCCUGCGAUGCAACUCUUUGUCCAUUUGAAGUAUCAAAACCUCCGGCCCGUUACUACAAUCCUUCUCAUAAUUCAGGUGCUGUGGAUGUGCCUCUUAGCCCAUUUUGUUGCCGUGGCUCACGGGGAUGCUGACAGUAAACCAGCAUUAUAUGUUGUGCUGCUUUUCUACAUUAGCAUCUCUUUGGUGUACGAGCUGAACGAAUUAAUGAAUUAUGGCCUUCAACGAUACGCAAACUACACCAAUUUAGCCCAGUUGUUGAGAAACGGUUUCCUCUUGGCGGCUUUAUACUAUUUACGCAAUGACCAGCCGCAUAAAG
Molecule: long non-coding RNA, 737 nt
Organism: Folsomia candida
Lineage: Eukaryota; Metazoa; Arthropoda; Collembola; Entomobryomorpha; Isotomidae
Exons: 4
Source: RefSeq, a predicted model, not a curated record